Molecule: transfer RNA, 86 nt
Filed under: Fidelibacterota bacterium
Lineage: Bacteria; Pseudomonadati; Fidelibacterota
Description: tRNA-Tyr
Rfam family: tRNA
About the family: Transfer RNA (tRNA) molecules are approximately 80 nucleotides in length. Their secondary structure includes four short double-helical elements and three loops (D, anti-codon, and T loops). Further hydrogen bonds mediate the characteristic L-shaped molecular structure. tRNAs have two regions of fundamental functional importance: the anti-codon, which is responsible for specific mRNA codon recognition, and the 3' end, to which the tRNAs corresponding amino acid is attached (by aminoacyl-tRNA synthetases). tRNAs cope with the degeneracy of the genetic code in two manners: having more than one tRNA (with a specific anti-codon) for a particular amino acid; and 'wobble' base-pairing, i.e. permitting non-standard base-pairing at the 3rd anti-codon position.
Source: RNAcentral
GGGUCGGUGGCCGAGUGGUUAAAGGCAGCAGACUGUAAAUCUGCCGACGUAAGUCUACGGAGGUUCAAAUCCUUCCCGGCCCACAA